Molecule: transfer RNA, 64 nt
Organism: Cavia porcellus (domestic guinea pig)
Lineage: Eukaryota; Metazoa; Chordata; Mammalia; Rodentia; Caviidae
Rfam family: tRNA
About the family: Transfer RNA (tRNA) molecules are approximately 80 nucleotides in length. Their secondary structure includes four short double-helical elements and three loops (D, anti-codon, and T loops).
Source: Rfam
GGGGAUUUAGCUCAGCGGCAUAAGCGCCUGCCUUGCAAGCAGGCAGUCCUGAGUUGGAUCCCCG